GCAGUGUGAGAGCGCUGGAGCCGUUCGUCUCCUCCUCCCCCAGCGGGCAGGGCUCAAGAGGAGCGCAUGGGAGCUCUCUCUCUCACUCACUCUCUCUCGCCCUCGUUUGUCUCUUCACAGGGUGAUGAGGGAGCAGCGCUGUGGGCGGUAGAGGAGGUGCGUGGCAGUCCAGGAAGCUCUCAUUCUGCCACUGCGUGCUGCUCCGCCGACGUCCGGCUUCACCGAAGUCUCCCCUCGCUCUCUCUCUCUCUCUCUCAGUGCGUGUGUGUGUCAGAGUUGCCUUCCCCCUGCCUCCUCUCUCCUCCCCUCUCAUUGAUUCCUCUUUCCGACUGCCUUUCGCGUGCGCUUCUCUGUGCCUCUCUGAGCUUCUCCCCUCUUUAUGAAUCGUCCUUUCUUGCUCUUUCUGCUUUACCGUUUCCCUUUUUGGCGUCUCUCCUCGUCCUCUUCACCAGCCCAGUAUAAAAAAGGUAGGUUACUCCUUUUUAUUACACACCCGAAAAAAGGCUUUUUGUGUUAGCUUGCCUACUUGUUUGGCCGGUUGUUUUUUUCCUCCUUUUUCACCCACUUGUCUUCUUUUCCUCGUCCUCCCCUCGCUGCCCUCCCCUCUCCCUGGCUGGGGCGUGUGUGGCGAGCGCGAGACUCUGGCAGGCAGAGCGGCGGAAAAUGAAAGCACAAAGCAGCAAAAUGCAUCAGCAUGAAUAUUAGAGAUGUCGUUAAAACCCAGACUCGUUUUUUCUCUCUCUCUCUCUCUCUCUCUCUCUCGCUCGCUCACUCACACACACACACACUCUCUCUCUCUUUGUAAGGAAGUAGGCCAGCAGAUGGUGCUAGCAGUUAUUACAUUAACUUUCACAACUUAACCCCCAAAGUACUGGAUUUCUCCCACACCACAGAUUGUCAACAUUGUAGCUUUUUUUUUUUGGGUGCUCAUGUAGAUUACUGCCAGCAAUGUUCUGAUUUAUUUAUGGAACAGCAUCAUCCAGAAGUACAUGAUGAACAAACAGAUGAACACAUUCCCAAAGGCUAAAAAUAUAUUCCUGAUACAAACAGCACACCAAUGUUUAAAUAUUAGAGAUGAAUUCAAUCUUUCAAUACAAGACACUGUAGCCUUACACUGCGCUGAGUCACCAGUGGUGAAUUCAAGCACUUGUGGGGUCAAGACCUGGUCAUCCUGCUGUGACUCCUCAGAAAAAAUGUGGGAUGUGCCCAGUACAUGCAGCUCUUCCUGUGCGACAGAAGCUAUCUUGGAAGAGAGCAGGCCUUUCAGAGGACUCCUGACUGCCUGCUACAGGGGCCAUGUGCAACGGCUGGCACAUGGUAUUGGGAAUUAUGCAGACACACGGCUGGCCUGAAGCCAGGGCAGAAUCAGCUGAGCAUUCCUGUUGUCCAGCCAACAACCUGCUUCACUUUUCAUGCAGCUGUACACAUCGGGCAUAUGGGAGUUGUGCGGUUCAACCAGAUCUGCUGCCCACACACCAGGGAGUAGGAAGGGGGCAUGCUUUUGAAGCCAAGUCUUAACAGAGGUUGGAAUUGGGGCACUGAUUGCCAAAUGCAAUACAUGCAAAAUAUUAAAUGCUGGCAAAAGCACAAACUGUUUGUUGUGUUCAUUUAUAUAUCUAUGUAAUAUGAUACAAUGACCUCAUUCAAUUUCCUAUAUACAAUUAUUUUGUAUUGAUUAUUGUUGCAUAAUUUAUCAUAUUGUUCCAUUCUGAUUCCUCUUACCUGCAAAGCAAUAAUUUGUUGUGAGUGUAUUGUUCAGUUUAUUUAAGUGUGUUGUGAAAUCUGUGGUUAAGUGUGUGUUGGCUACAACACAAUAUGACUUAACAUUGUGUUUACAACCUAAAUAAACCUAUGGAACUGA
Scomber scombrus (Atlantic mackerel) is the source of this 1861-nucleotide long non-coding RNA. RefSeq lists it as uncharacterized. Lineage: Eukaryota; Metazoa; Chordata; Actinopteri; Scombriformes; Scombridae. The record is from RefSeq and is a predicted model, not a curated record. The transcript has 2 exons.